UACGGAAGGUCCGGGCGUUAUCCGGAUUUAUUGGGUGUAAAGGGAGCGUAGACGGUGUGGCAAGUCUGAUGUGAAAGCCCGGGGCUCAACCCCGGGACUGCUUUUGAAACUGUGGAGCUGGAGUGCAGGAGAGGCAAGUGGAAUUCGUGGUGUAGCGGUGAAAUGCUUAGAUAUCACGAAGAACCCCGAUUGCGAAGGCAGCUUGCUAAACUGUAACUGACGUUCAUGCUCGAAAGUGUGGGUAUCAAACAGG
RNAcentral lists this ribosomal RNA (253 nucleotides) under Phocaeicola coprocola DSM 17136. Its description in RNAcentral is "partial 16S ribosomal RNA". It matches the Rfam family "Bacterial small subunit ribosomal RNA", at positions 524 to 776 of the family's 1533-position model. The record is from RNAcentral. Lineage: Bacteria; Pseudomonadati; Bacteroidota; Bacteroidia; Bacteroidales; Bacteroidaceae.